UUAGAGGUGCACUGUGAGUUA
This is a non-coding RNA of Caenorhabditis elegans, 21 nucleotides long. The record is from Ensembl. Lineage: Eukaryota; Metazoa; Nematoda; Chromadorea; Rhabditida; Rhabditidae.